AUUCACUUCUGCGUUCUCUCUCUCUCUUUUUUCUUAACUUUUUAUUCUUUUCAUAAAUCUUGUUGCCCCAAACUCAGAUUUGUGGAGCCUCUCAGUUUAAAUGACUAAUGGACUAGCUGUAGUUUUUGAGUCCCUAUUCCAAAUUAUUGAAGGAACAAACAAAGUUCUCUGGCUUGCACCCACAGUCCACUCUGGUUUCAGCCAUCUCUAGCCUGGCUCAGCAGGCCUGGAGGGAUGAUGCUGUCGACUCGUAGGCCAUGAGUUCCACUCCUUAAUGGGCAGGUAGGAGCAACUAUGAUGACAAGCUAGGCCCAGAGAAGAGGACAUGAGCCAGGCCAGCACCACAGAUUCUGAGGAUAAUGCAUGGACGUCUCUGAGGAGGCACUCUUCUGCCCAUCAUGCACUGUGCUGAGGGAAGCCAGAUGACAAGAUAAACAGAUACAUGAAUUGCAUGCAUUUCUGUAUAUAUGUGCAUUUGUAUACAUACAUAACUUCACAUCAAGAAAUGCAUAUUGACAGAAGCAAAGAAAAUGCUGUAAUGGAGAAUAAAAUGGAGAACAAGUCUGUUGGAAGAGGAGACAUCUGUGCUGAGAACUGAAAGAGAAUACAAUCUCUCUUCCAAUUUCUCUUCUCUAAGAAAAUAGCUUUAUGGUUUAUACUCAUAAGAUUGUUUUGAGGAUUGAAUGAUGUGAAUGAUGUAAAUGAUGUAACAAUUUUUACAGAACAUCUAGUAGUAUCACUGAUGAUUCCCCAAUGCUUACAAUAGUUUCUUCACAGCGGUGGCUGCAGAACAGCGGUGGCUGUAGAACAGCGGAUUUUGGUGACCCGCAAAUGCUGCUGCCUGAUCAUUCCUCUGGAAGUUUUGUCUCAGAGGAGUACCCAGCCGUG
RNAcentral lists this long non-coding RNA (888 nucleotides) under Homo sapiens (human). RNAcentral describes it as "HSALNT0122582". The record is from RNAcentral. Lineage: Eukaryota; Metazoa; Chordata; Mammalia; Primates; Hominidae.